Molecule: long non-coding RNA, 820 nt
Filed under: Triticum aestivum (bread wheat)
Lineage: Eukaryota; Viridiplantae; Streptophyta; Magnoliopsida; Poales; Poaceae
Description: long non-coding RNA (TAES_LNC008207)
Source: RNAcentral
UUUUAACAAAUUUCUUUUUUUUACCUGUAUAAAGUUUUCAGAACUUUUUCAAGCUUGGAAAAAAUAUGCUCUAGAUCAUAGACGGUUCUACAUGAAUUGCUUUGUAGUAACACCUGAAGCAAUUAAAAUCACCUAUUGAACCUGCAACCCAUUUGUCAUGAGUACAUCUAUACUGAUGGGUCCCCGGCCGUCUUUGAUGAGCCACAGAAAACUCGCAAUGAAAGCAUGUGAUAUAUCUUAGACGACUCUCAACGAGAGCCAUCAGUGACCUGAAUAUACCAAAAUCAAUUUUACUGAGAGCCUUCUAUGAACAUCCGACGACCUCAUAUGAACGUCCUGAUAUUUUGAAUCUCUUGCUUGAGACCCGUCCUGAUGUUUGCCAAUGACCAUCAUCAUGUCGACUACCUCUGGUCUGGGUUUUCUUUUAUUGUGUCACAACUGCAUAUGCAUGAAUGAGAAGAAAAAGGCUAGAGGUAAUAUAUAGCCAGCUAGCUAGAAUGAAACGAAUGAAGGAGUAAGAAGUAAGAACACACCCCCCCUGUACAAGGGAAGAGGGCUCACGAACAAACAACAUAGUGAGUACAUAGCCAGACCUCACGUACCUAUAUAUCACAUCGACGAUGCUCUUGCGCGCUACAGAAUGAUGGAUAUGCUUGCUUAUAUAGAUGUAGGGGCUUGAGAAACUCCACCCCUAGACUAUCUGUUGAUCUCAGCCCCGAUGGCCGGCUUCUGCGCUUGUAUAGAUGGUUUUCUUCUGAAGGAGGCUCGACGGUUGAACCGAUCAAUGAAUUGGCGUGCAGAUUAUGAGAGGUUGGAAGAC